Gossypium arboreum is the source of this 907-nucleotide long non-coding RNA. RefSeq lists it as uncharacterized. The transcript is spliced from 2 exons. The record is from RefSeq and is a predicted model, not a curated record. NCBI's taxonomy places the organism in Eukaryota, Viridiplantae, Streptophyta, Magnoliopsida, Malvales, Malvaceae.
GGGGACAAUACAUGAAAAAAUCUCAUCUUGAUUAUCUUCUUCCUCUUCUCUCCUCUCGUAGACCAGAACUCUAUAAACAAUUGGUGUUAUGAGCAUGAAACAAACCUGCCACCUUCAGAACUCACCAUUUUCUCUGAUGUUGAGUGUCAUCUGCUAUAAACUUUAGAGGGAUUAGAUGGAUGAAAAAGUGGAAGAGAUUGUGGAGAUGAAACAACACAGUUUAGUAGAAGAAAAUUAGAAAACACUAGAAGUUUUAAAAGACAUGGAGCAAUCUUUGCAAGAUCAAUUACGACAAGCUAAAAAGAAGUGUAUCAAGCAUGCAAAAAGUUUAUUGGAAACAAAAAGUUAAAAACAAAUCUGGGUAUAAAGAUCCAACCGUUCUUGCAUUUGAAAGACCUUGGUAAACAGCUCCAUAAUUGAUGAUGGUCUUAUUCAAAAGGAGGAAUUCCAGCAUGUAGUUUUUAGAAACAACAAGAAGCAAAAUCUUUUUACAGAUAGAGUAUUUGAUUUGUUCGAUGUUAAACACAAUGAGGUUACUGAAUUUGGAAAUUUUUUGUGUUUUUUAAGCGUAUUUCAUCCUAGUACUCAAUAGCAGACAAAGUUGCAUUCCUAGCCAAUUGUACAUCCUACGACAAUUUGGUUACAUUGAGGGAGAAGAGGUAAAAGAAAAAAACCAUGUUUGUUUCUAAUAAACCUAUCAAAUACUCUUUUGUGGCUGCGUGGAAUCAUCUCUUUUAGUAGAGUAUAUGGUGUUGAAUUUAGAAUAUUGACUUCUUAUUCAUACGGAUAGCGGGGUUUUGCUAUAAUUUUGGUUACUUAAUUUAGUGACAAAUGUUAUGGUGGUUGGAAACUUUACAUGUUUCAGGUUGUUCAAUAUGAGUUUUAGAUCAAUCUUGUUAAAUCAAAA